This 4467-nucleotide long non-coding RNA is filed under the name Homo sapiens (human). Its description in RNAcentral is "HSALNT0296347". Lineage: Eukaryota; Metazoa; Chordata; Mammalia; Primates; Hominidae. The record is from RNAcentral.
UCCUGCACGUGUAUCCCAGAACUUAAAGUAAAAUUAAAAAUAAAUAAAUAAAUAAAUAACAAGAUCCUGAAGAGUGGCUAAUUUACCAAGCUGUGUAUCAGUUCAUGGAUUCCUCUCUGGGCAGCCAGAGUCCCUCCUUAGGUGAUAACAUGAACACCUAACAUUGGCAUAUGCCCAAGUAUUUGAAACUGCGAGUGGGGAUUAUAUGGAAAACUGUCUGAAGUGCCUAAUAAGGGUUUAUAGUACACAAUCUUCCCUCAAUUAAUGGGUAGCAUUUGUCUCUCUUCUAAAACACCAUAAAGUCUUUGAACCAGCAGCUGGAAACCAUAAUUUGGGAAGGGAUGCCUAACAUUCUAAGGAGACUGCAUUGCUGGGCUAAUUUUGAUUGUAUAAGAACCUACAACAGUCCAAUUCCCAGAGUCUGUGGACCGAAAUAAAUUCAGCAGGAAACUGUAGUCUUACUGAGUGAUAAUAUGAUUUGACACCCAAGUAAUAGAAACAUGCAUUGGAGGACAGAAGAAAUGUCAGCACCAGCCCUUUUCCACUUGUAAAACUCCUCAUUCUUCUUCAAGAUGCAGCCCAAAUGCAACCUCCUCUCUGAAGCUUUCCUGAACUCCCUUAGGCUGAGUUACUCAGGCCCUCCUGUGUCCUGUAGCCCCUUCUCUUGCUCAUGUAAUUAUGUUUCUAUGUCUGUGACCGCCAUUAGAUUUUAGCUCCUCCUGAAUAACAGUUUCUUAGUGACUUUUAUAUACUCUGCAAACAGCACACUGCUUGGCACGUAGUAGAUGCUCACAAAAUAUUUGUUGUUGAAUUAAUGCAGUGGGUCUCGAUUUCCCUCCUUUUCUUCCCUAAGCCUGGAGCUAAGGCAGGUGAACCUUCAGAGUCCUUUGAGGGGCAGAGAGAAGUCAAGUCAAACCUGGGGGAAGGUGGCCGCCUCUGCUUCCGUGGCUCCCUCAAGAACAUGCUUGUGGAACCUUGCACCGUGAGGACUGGAAGGCACCUCAGAGUAUCUAGAGAGCUAGGAGAUGUCCUUGGGCAAGAUACUGUGAUACCAAAUGUUAUUCAUUUAACAAACCUUUGUCAAGGGUCAACACAUGCCAGGCCAUAAAGAAGCUACAGUUCCUAUCCUUACAAAUCAUACAGGGUGAGGCAGAGACAGACCUGUACACAGGUAUAAUAGGCACACAGUACUGUGUGACAAGUGCUCGGACAGGAGGGAGCACAGGAAAGGACACUGAAGAACAGACCUUGAAUAUCUCGCAGGAGAGUCCAUGUCAAAGCCAAGAGCCCACAGCGGAGCGAAGUUGCCUUGGAGGAGGAAGCGUCACAGUUCUCUGUGACAGAACAAGAGGACUGCCCCGCCCCUUUCUCAGAAGGGGCAUCAUAGGAAGCAGAACUGGCUAGAGCAUCUCCACCAUCUUCCUUCAAGCACGUGGACCGACACCCAGGCCUCCUGGUGUCCUGACACUGCAGACUCCUGGAAUAUACCUCCACCAGCAGGCAGGAAUCUGUCCUAUUCCCAGCAACCACUAGAGGCACUGCCUGACCCUACUGCGGCCACAAGCAGAGGGACCCCAGGAUUCUCAAAUCUGUUACCUUGUCUCACCUCCCCUAGGAAGCAGAAGAGUGCUAUGAAAAUCUUUAGCUGCUGAUCACAGCUAUAAACGAGAUGAGGAGGGUCCCUGUCCUCUUGGUGUUUCCAGUCUCCCAAAGAAGACAGACAUGAAACAAUGAUGGUUACAGUUCAAGAUGGAGGAUUCUCCCUUUUGGAUAAUGAAAGAACUAAGUUUUGGCUUCUAACAACCAGAAGAGUCUCCCUGUGGAGGCAGGAGAGAACUGCAGCUGGGCUGCCCCUUUGUGAGGCUCCUCAGAAGUUUCCUGACUGAAAGGUCCAAUACCAAGCUGCCCAGUACAAAACUGGUCUCCUGGCAACUAUAGCUGAAUCCACCAUCGCCUCCCCUAAGAAGAGUGCUUAUCAGGGCACGUUCAUCCAAGAGAACUGAGGAAUGAGGAACAAAGAAAACAAGUUAACAUUUACCACGGCUUCCGCUACGCGCUUUACAUGAAUCAUUUUUGUUUCUUGCCAGAACCUAUGAGAUAACGUGCAGUUGCCAUAAGCACGGGAUGAUGGGCGGAAGCAGUUGCCAUAAGCACGGGAUGAUGGGCGGACCCACAGGCAGCAGUAAAGUUAUGUGCAGGGUGAAGGAUGAGGACUGAGGGGACUCGAGCAGGCAGAGGGCGCAGAGGUAAGGAGAGGGAAGCCCAUAGACUGGAGGUUACCCAGAACGGCAGCCACCCUCAUCUCACAACCCCAACCCGAUUCCCUGGAUUUCUGGGAAGCUUAAGCCUGUGCCUUUCACUCAGCAUUGUCAAGAUACCAUUGUGGAGCUGGGUUCAUUCUACAAACCUCACUGGGUGCCUACUGUGUGUCUGACAAUGCUGGGCACUUGGAGGACACAGUGGGUGGGUCAAGGAAUCUAGUGGGGGCAAAAGACAAGUAGCUGAACAAUGACCAGACAGGAGGCAAGGCUGCUGGGGCAGAUAAGGCCUAAAACAGCCCCAAACCCAAGAUCAGCUGUGACGUGAAGGAAGCAUGACAGUAAACAAGGCCAGUGGUGGAGGUGGGAGUGGUGGUCGGAGAAAGAGGUGAUGGUACUCCAGGCAGAGUGAACAGCAUGUGCAAAGGCUCAGAGGCAAGAAGCAGCAUGAAGCAUGCUUGAGACUUCAGGUCGUGUCCUUGGAGGUGAGAAGGGGAGGACACACAGUGGAGAGGGUUGCUCCUGGAAUCCCUAGGUGGCAAGCCUGUCUCCUCUGCGUCUUUCUUUUCACAUCCCCUUGGAUGGCUUGCUCGCUCAAUAAACAGUGCUGCCCAUUCUAUAAUCCAGGUGCACGGUCGCUGAGCAUCAGGAGUGCAUUCUGAUCUCGGCCCCACCCGGCAGCUGCUGAGAGAAACCCUUCCACACACACCACUCCCCUCUAGCCCAGCAGCCACAGUAUUUCCUCUUGGAAAGAGCCAGGCUAUUGUUGGGUGUGCCCAACAUCUCCUGCUGCCAUAGUGAGGGCUGGCCAGGUGUGGGGCGAGCAUGAGGGAAAUUAGAGGCCCUCCCUGAUUGUCACUUUCCCUUGGAUGGUUCCUAAACAUAAGAGGUCCAAAGUUCAAGGCCGGGCCUCAUCUAUCCUGCACCAGACCCUGGGACUGGAGCAGUGUGGGGAGGGGGAGUCUGCGGCUUAAGGACCACUCUUACCAGCAGCCAACAAGCAGGUCCCCGGGGAACAAGAGAAGGUGAACACCACUUCCCAGAGGACCCCUAGGAUGGGCUUGCUGAGCCAAGCUUUAUCUCUUGAGCUUUUCAGAGGUACGGGAGCAUCCCUCUCCACGCAUCCAAACCAUUCAGCCUUUUCCCAGGAAUGCCUUGAAUCGGAAGCAAAGGCUUUAUUCCACAAUUGGAGAGCGGGCAAAACACCAAUCCCACCUGAGGAGUCCCAGGUGUCCCCAAAGUCACACCAAGUGUGCAUGACUGACAGUAGAGCCUUUCUACAACCAGGUUUCUUUGGGAUAAAAGACAAAAAGGGAAGAAAAGUAACUGAGGCCUACUGGCAUCUACAGAGCACUCAAAGGCAUCCGAAUGCAUCCAAAAACUGUUAUAGCUUUGCUGAAACCACCAUUUUCUAAGGGAAAACUGCUGAAAGCAAAUCCUUAAUUCUCUCCAGAGGCAGAGGUACAGACAAUGGCAAAGAAGUGACCAGCCACUCCCAAAGAGAUCAGCCUUAGGGCGGAAUGUGUCAGUUCCCAGCCCCUAAACCCUCUGGCCUCACCCAGGAACCCCUGCUCUCACCCUGUCCAGAUCCCUCACUAAGGUCUCUCCCCUCAGCCUUCCACCGUCAAAAACAGGUAGGACCUCCGAUCAAACAGAUCUUUAACAGAUCAAAUCGUCCUUCCACACAUGUGGGGCCCGUGAGACCUCCGGGGGACUCGGUAUAUUAUCAGUCUUACCUCCCCAGCAGAAUGCAGAUGUUACCUGAAUAUUCACUGGAGGAGCAGUGAUAGGGAGGGAGGGGAAACGGAACCAGUCGGGUGCCAAGGCCUCUCCGAAGCCUGCGACUCCCGCUACAGACGUCAGGGGGCGCCAGAGGCCGGAGCACCGGGUCCCCGGUCCCGGAGCCCCAGUUUUCCCAGCCGAAACCGAGACUGAGACCACGCGUGCUGCCCCGAGGCGCGGGCUGAGGGGCCGCCGGGCUGGGAGCUUCAUGCUCGCCUCGGUUUACUGAGGUCAUCCAGCCCCAGUGGGCUGGCUGCCUUAAAAUAGCCUAGCUGCAAAGCCAUUAGGAAAGAAAACGUGUGUGUGAAUGUUUAUAUAUGUUUUUAUUUAUGUUUAUAUAUGUUUAUAUGUAUAUAAUUUAAACUUGUUUCUUCGAGUGCAUUAAAAAAAUGGGCUCUUUCUUUUCUCUGUGUUUUUUGUUUGUUUG